Gopherus flavomarginatus (Mexican gopher tortoise) is the source of this 157-nucleotide long non-coding RNA. RefSeq lists it as uncharacterized. The transcript is spliced from 2 exons. The record is from RefSeq and is a predicted model, not a curated record. NCBI's taxonomy places the organism in Eukaryota, Metazoa, Chordata, Testudines, Testudinidae.
GAAAUAAAAGGAAGAAAGCAUCAAACUGGCAGCCUACCAAAGAGAACAGGCAGCCAAAGAGGCAGCACACAAAAGAAAACUAGAAGAAGAAGAGGUGGCCCACAGAAGGAAACAAGAAGAAGAAGAGGCGGCCCACCGCCGAGACAUGGAAAAACAA